This is a small nuclear RNA of Peromyscus maniculatus bairdii (prairie deer mouse), 107 nucleotides long. The record is from Ensembl. Lineage: Eukaryota; Metazoa; Chordata; Mammalia; Rodentia; Cricetidae.
GUGUUGGCUUCAGUAGCACAUAUACUAAAAUUGGAAUGAUAUAGAGAACGCUACCAUGGCCCUGGCACAAAGAUACCAUACAAAUUCAUGAAGUGUUCCAUAUAAAA